GUUUAAUUGAAUCCUUGGUGUUUGGACUCUGUGUUCUUGGGUUCUGUACUCAAACAUUUUGUCACAAACUCUUCAUCUUUCAAAGAAGACUCCCUAUAGUGAAGCAUAUGUGAAGCGAGGUUAUUAAUGGUAGUGGGAUGAGAGGCUUCUUAGUUUUAGUAGUGGUUGUGGAUACUUGAUAGAAAGCUGGGCUUUUUUCUUCAGAAUAGUUCUGAAAGUGACCAUAUUACAUUCAAAUAGGAGUUGAGGCAUUAUCCCUGUAAGUUUUCUUUUUUUCCCCCCCAAACCAACCCCAAAAUGGUCAGUGCACUGUAAGUUUUUCAGAUAAGCAAGUGGGCCUGUUCUCGAACACCAGUGCAAAAUGCUAAACCAGAC
This 375-nucleotide long non-coding RNA is filed under the name Homo sapiens (human). RNAcentral describes it as "HSALNT0228632". The record is from RNAcentral. Lineage: Eukaryota; Metazoa; Chordata; Mammalia; Primates; Hominidae.